CGGUAAGUUUGAUAGCAAUAUUGAACCAAGAGUGUCGUAAGGGUGCGUAACGAGUAUGCAAUCUGCCCUCAACAGGAGAAUAGCUCCCCGAAAGGGGAAUUAACACUCCGUAAUAUCGCGAUUCGGCAUCGUGUUGCGAUUAAAACUACGGUGGUUGAGGAUGAGCAUGCUUCUGAUUAGUUAGUUGGCGGGGUAACGGCCCACCAAGGCGAUGAUCAGUAGGGGAACUGAGAGGUUGAUCCCCCACACUGGCACUGAGAUACGGGCCAGACUCCUACGGGAGGCAGCAGUAGGGAAUAUUGGACAAUGGGUGCGAGCCUGAUCCAGCCAUGCCGCGUGCAGGAAGACGGCCUUCUGGGUUGUAAACUGCUUUUGCCUGUGGAUAAAAAGCCCAUGCGUGGGAAAUUGAAGGUAGCAGGUGAAUAAGCCACGGCUAACUACGUGCCAGCAGCCGCGGUAAUACGUAGGUGGCAAGCGUUGUCCGGAUUUAUUGGGUUUAAAGGGUGCGUAGGCGGUCUGAUAAGUCAGUGGUGAAAUACGGCAGCUUAACUGUCGAGGUGCCAUUGAUACUGUUAGACUUGAGUACAGACGAGGUAGGCGGAAUUGACGGUGUAGCGGUG
Molecule: ribosomal RNA, 620 nt
Filed under: uncultured bacterium
Lineage: Bacteria
Description: bacterial SSU rRNA
Rfam family: Bacterial small subunit ribosomal RNA
Source: RNAcentral